RNAcentral lists this ribosomal RNA (444 nucleotides) under uncultured Anaerolineaceae bacterium. RNAcentral's name for it is "bacterial SSU rRNA". It matches the Rfam family "Bacterial small subunit ribosomal RNA", at positions 926 to 1382 of the family's 1533-position model. Lineage: Bacteria; Bacillati; Chloroflexota; Anaerolineae; Anaerolineales; Anaerolineaceae. The record is from RNAcentral.
CGAAGCAGCGGAGCGUGUGGUUUAAUUCGAUGCUACACGAAGAACCUUACCAGGGUUUGACAUGUAAGUGGUAGUGAUCUGAAAAGUGAAGACCCUUCGGGGAGCUUUACACAGGUGCUGCAUGGCUGUCGUCAGCUCGUGUCGUGAGAUGUUCGGUUAAGUCCGCUAACGAGCGCAACCCUCACUGUGUGUUGUAUGUGUCACACGGGACUGCCGGUUUUAAGCCGGAGGAAGGUGGGAUGACGUCAAGUCAGCAUGGCCUUUAUAUCCUGGGCUACACACACGCUACAAUGGUCGGUACAAUAGGUUGCCAAGCCGCGAGGCGGAGCCAAUCCAAAAAAGCCGGCCUCAGUUCAGAUUGUAGGCUGCAACUCGCCUGCAUGAAGAUGGAGUUGCUAGUAACCGCAGGUCAGCAAUACUGCGGUGAAUACGUUCCCGGGUCUU